CCUACGGGUGACAGCAGUGGGGGAUAUUGCACAAUGGGGGAAACCCUGAUGCUGCGACGCCGCGUGGGUGAAGAAGCGCCUCGGCGCGUAAAGCCCUGUCAGCACGGAAGAAAAUCACGGUACCUGAAGAAGAAGCCCCGGCUUACUACGUGCCAGCACUCGCGGUUAUACGUAGGGGGCAAGGGUUAUCCGGGUUUCAGGGGUGUAAAGGGGGCGCAGACGGCGAUGCAAGCCAGGAGGGAAAGCCCGGGGCCCAACCCCGGGACUGCGUUGGGAACUGCGUGGCUAGAGGGCAGGGGGGGCAGGCGGAAUUCCUGGUGUAGCGGUGAAAUGCGUAGAUAUCAGGAGGAACAACGGUGGCGAAGGCGGCCUGCUGGACUGCAACUGACGUUGAGGCCCGAAGGCGUGGGUAGCAAACAGGAUUAGAUACCCUUGUAGUC
This 440-nucleotide ribosomal RNA is filed under the name uncultured bacterium. RNAcentral's name for it is "partial 16S ribosomal RNA". It matches the Rfam family "Bacterial small subunit ribosomal RNA", at positions 338 to 795 of the family's 1533-position model. The record is from RNAcentral.